GCAACUCGUUAGUUUUGAUCGAUUCUUUUAUAAAAACAGUUACAUUUCUCGAAACGAACGAUCUUUUACUCAGUUUCAAUAUAGAAAAAAAUCUAUAUUUGAUUGUUUCGUGUAAAAUACAUACAGGAUAUUUUCUAUCGGUCAGGUAAAUUCAUAAAAUUCGCUUAUUUAAUAUACAAGUUACUUUAACGUUUACGUAACUAAACUAUAACACGCAUAUUUAAUAUAACCAACGUUCGAUGACGUCAGGUAAGCGCUCUUAAAAUGGCGUCGGAUAAACGAAAUAUUACGAAAUUCAGUAAAAAUUGCACUGUCGGUCAAUCGGAAACUUGGUCGGAAAAUACUGGACGAACCAGAGGAAUGAUUUGUUCUAGUUUUGGGGGUGGCGACGUUCGAUUAUAGAAAAUCUCGCUUCCAACCCCUUGUGGAGAAUGGAAACCGAAGACAGAGGGUGAUAGGGAGUCUCUCGAUCCCAAUCCGUCGUCAUUCCGGGGAUAGAAACGUAAAAAAUGCAGAUAUUUAGCCUUAAAAUUCAAAAAGAAUCCAUGACGUCAAUCGCAUUGGAAUUCGUUACGCGCUUUUCUAAUCUCCAUAGAAACGGCAACAAUUGCUGUUUCUAUUGUUGCAACACGAUUUUGCGUCACUUUGCACGUUUUUCGCUUGCUGUGAGGACGUGUGCGCUCUUUGCUCCUGUUUUCGCUGUGUUUUUUGCCUUCUUCAGUGUUCUUUUCUACCGGAACGUGGUUUUAAGAAGACUUGUGGACGCCGACGUUAUACCAAGUAAGAUUUUAACUAGAAUUUAUCUAGCUGUAAGAUUUUAUUUUCGUUUCGUUUAGUCCAACUUUCGGAGACGACAUCGGCGUUUAAAUCUGCCGUCGCUUGUGAAUUAGGACUUUUAAACGAACGACCGAAGCGCCGAAAACGGAUUAAGUAUUUGCUCAUUGGUUUAUUCUCGUAAUUAAUUCAUUUAUAUUUUAUAAACACGGUCAAAGAAUAAGGAUUAUUUAUAGAAAUUCAAUUAAAAAUUACUUAAUACUAACUUUAAAUACGAAUUCCAUCGUAAUUUUAACUAAAAUAUACUCUGGUAACAUUGAUGGACGGAGACCGUAUUCUGAAGCAUGGGAUGUUCGUUCGACAGGUCAAAAACUUCGCCCUUUGACCUCCGACUUCUCCAUGCAAUUUAUGUAUUAGUUACAACGCUUUUCAAUGGCUUAUUUUGCCAGAAUUAAAUUGUCUGCAAACACAUCUAAUACUAAUACACUUAACAGUUAUCUAUACAGGCUGGACACAAAGAAUUCUUUUCCUUAGGCUCUUUGUCUCUUUUCACAAGGUGGUCUGAGUGCAGUCGAUCUUCCACACUUACGUAACAUUUAAGUGGCACAAUGCUUUGUGCCACUUAAACGUUCGUGUCCCGAAUGGCGAGUUGGGCUGUGGGCACGUUUCACUUCUUCCUACGUUUGUCUUGUGUUUCGGUCGACUCGUUCGCAAUUUCUUUGCACGAAACUCUUUUAAAUGCCGUCGUUGCGUUUAUGUGACGUACACGUUAGGGUAAAUUGCUCUAGAACGAAACACUUGUUACGACUCGGGCUCGAAUGCCUUUUCCUCAUGGCUACGUGCGGCGUGUCUUUAAUUUACUGUCGUACAAAUACAAAUUACACGUAAGAGAGUUUCUUCGUUCCGGGUCGGUCGUCUCUACUGCAAAUACAGUUGGAACGUUCUAGCAAUUUCCGGUUGCUAUCCGAAUUCCGAUUCGUCGUGAGUAUAAUCUUGAACUUUUUCUGCGUUAAUCGGCCCCAGAAGACAUCUCGGCACAUCGUUCGAUGGUCCGAUUCGAAUCUUUUAGAUUUAAAAAGGCAGCUGCGAAUGAAGAUGUUGGAGUGGUUUCGCCGGAGGUUCCGACGGAAGAAUGCGGUGGCGCCGGAGGGAGGGGGUUCCUCGGACGGCUCCAAUGAGACCCGGUAGUUCGGUGUCGUUGGGGACCUCCGACCGAGAGGCAGACGACAGACUUUACCAAAUGCUUGUGGCGUGGAGCUCUUCCGAAGACGCUCCCGUCUUCGGGGGAGUUCUGAGUCCAUUCCACUUGGUGAAUGUCGUCAGGAGUCAGCCAGCCACAGGCCUUGUUGUGGAAGACAUAGAGAGUGACGAGUUCUCUUGGAGUUCGACGUCACUUUCUACUUUCGCGAGGUCUGCCUCUGCGUCCGCGCUCGCGCGCUCGUCGCCAUCGUCUUUCGGAAGUCGGGACGGGGAAGCAUCGGAGGAGAGCGCCGCCGAAGUCGAGGAACCGCGAUUUUGUUGCUGCGGAUGGCUGCGGUUUCCUCGGCCUAGGCGGUGAUCUUCUUCGAUUUUCCCCAACUCGUCCUUUUCACCCGGAUGCGACAUUCUGACCGGAUUCGACACUUUCACCCGGACAUGACCUCUUUACUCGGACGUGACCUUCUCUUACCCGGAUGUUCUCACGGACUUGUCUCCUGAACGUGACACUCGAUCGACGACAACGGAUUUGACUUCCGAUUGUGACCACCCGGACUUGACACGUUUCUUCACCGGACGCGACAUUCGGCCGACCUUUCUUCCCAAACAGUUGUUACGAGGAUUGAGCUUCCGGUUGGUUAGGUUAGGUUAGGUUAGAUUAAGCUAGGCUAGGUCAGGUCCUUCGCUCUCUUCAUGACACUGUUCGGGAAGAAAGACCUGAUAAAGGUAAUAAUGUUGACCUUAGAUAAUAAAUGAAUCAACUUCUCCUUUUCUCACUGUCUUUGUGUUUUGUAGGAACAUUUGGGAGGGAGAAGGAUCUCCCUCCCCAACUUUACCACGAAGAGGACGAAGUGGCCAUUUAGGGUACAAGUGAAUGUUUUCCGAAAUCUCCGAUGACAUACCGAAGAUGUUCUUCGAUCGCACACACACACAGGCACGGAUAUAACAUCACUGUACACGAAGAUAUACACCGUUUAACCUUUACUCGAAUUCUCGCACUCAUGCAUUUACACGUCAAGCGCCACGUUCUAUGUAAUUCCACACAAUGAAACAAC
RNAcentral lists this long non-coding RNA (3026 nucleotides) under Centruroides sculpturatus (bark scorpion). RNAcentral's name for it is "uncharacterized LOC111618591". The record is from RNAcentral. Lineage: Eukaryota; Metazoa; Arthropoda; Arachnida; Scorpiones; Buthidae.